RNAcentral lists this small RNA (27 nucleotides) under Bombyx mori (domestic silkworm). RNAcentral's name for it is "ovarian small RNA-30167". The record is from RNAcentral. Lineage: Eukaryota; Metazoa; Arthropoda; Insecta; Lepidoptera; Bombycidae.
UCUUGAAACUGCUUCAGCCACAUAGCU